Molecule: ribosomal RNA, 253 nt
Filed under: uncultured bacterium
Lineage: Bacteria
Description: partial 16S ribosomal RNA
Rfam family: Bacterial small subunit ribosomal RNA
Source: RNAcentral
UACGGAGGGUGCAAGCGUUGUCCGGAUUUAUUGGGUUUAAAGGGUGCGUAGGCGGCUUUUUAAGUCAGUGGUGAAAGACAACAGCUCAACUGUUGCAGUGCCAUUGAUACUGAAGAGCUUGAGUACAGAUGAGGUAGGCGGAAUUUAUGGUGUGGCGGUGAAAUGCAUAGAUACCAUAAAGAACACCUAUUGCGAAGGCAGCUUACUAAGCUGUAACUGACGCUGAGGCACGAAAGUGUGGGGAUCAAACAGG